CGUGAUGUUGACUAAAAGAAAAUGUGCUUCCUAAAAUUAAAUUCAUCACCGUGCUUUUGUUUUCAAAGAAAGAAAAUGCAUUGCCCCUUUUUUUUAAAAAAAAUAAAAAUAAAAAUAAAAUAACAUCACCGUCUCUUCCUUUGUAGGACGUCACCCAUGCACUUUUGCUCUCCAUCCACCACCGCCGUGAAUCCACCUCUUGAUCCAAGAAAAUAAAUGCCCCUUUUUUUUCAAAUAAAAAUCACCUAACAGCUAAAUGAAUUAAAUGCACUUCUAAGAUUUUCCCUUAAUAAAUAAGCAUGUUUUUUCCAAAGUAAAUAAAAGUAAAUCCCAUGUGUGCUUCUCCCAACCGUGAGACCUCAACCUUCCAGCCAAAAACAAUGCAGC
This 387-nucleotide long non-coding RNA is filed under the name Vigna radiata. RNAcentral describes it as "long non-coding RNA (VRAD_LNC008217)". Lineage: Eukaryota; Viridiplantae; Streptophyta; Magnoliopsida; Fabales; Fabaceae. The record is from RNAcentral.